GAAUUUCAUUUCCCUUCCUCAGUCAUCGGAGAGCUCUCUUUGGGCUUUCCAAAAAGGUAUCACAUGCCAAGUUUGGCCUCACGGUCUAAAAGUUAUAGAGUCAUACAUUUUUAACAAUACAAAAUAGAGAAAAACCGAAAAAAAAGAGGGAUGCAACACGAGGACUUUCCGGGAGGUAAU
This 180-nucleotide small RNA is filed under the name Arabidopsis thaliana (thale cress). Its description in RNAcentral is "ATSL163620". The record is from RNAcentral. Lineage: Eukaryota; Viridiplantae; Streptophyta; Magnoliopsida; Brassicales; Brassicaceae.